Molecule: small RNA, 61 nt
Filed under: Arabidopsis thaliana (thale cress)
Lineage: Eukaryota; Viridiplantae; Streptophyta; Magnoliopsida; Brassicales; Brassicaceae
Description: ATSL001830
Source: RNAcentral
GGCCAAACGUGAAGAGGAUGAAGACGAAGAUGAAGAAGAAGUAGAAUGGGAAGAAAAGGCU